Mercenaria mercenaria is the source of this 614-nucleotide long non-coding RNA. RefSeq lists it as uncharacterized. The transcript is spliced from 4 exons. Lineage: Eukaryota; Metazoa; Mollusca; Bivalvia; Venerida; Veneridae. The record is from RefSeq and is a predicted model, not a curated record.
GAAGCGACGAAAAUCGGGAUCGAAUCCCACUACGGUAACAUACGAGGGUAUCCAAACAACACAUACUAUCCAAAUAAAAAAAUAUGGAGUUCCGGUUUAGACCAUGGGCGUGCGACGACCCCGAUGAAAUUCGGGAUAUCACGGUCUUCGUUAAUAUUAAUAAGCGUCCGUCAGAUCAGUAGGCGAAACGCAAUAUCCGCACAAUAAGAUGUCUGCGACCCGAAAGAAUAUUCAAAAAUAUGGACGGCACUCCAGUACAGCAUGUGCAUGGUUGGACCUGUUGACAUUUUUAGAAACGCAUCUUGGUCUAUUAUACAGAGUAUUGUUGUACUGCUCCAAAGUGCUUGUUGACAGACUGGAACCACUUGCUUGCGGCUCAUAAGGUUCACUUCUUGAGAGCAGGCAGCUACAAAAUGGAAGGUCAACAAAUCCAGUAUACUUGAAAAGCAAGAAAGAAACACCAGAAAAUAUAAAAAGACAGAAGAACAAGGGAACUUUAAUAAAAAAACAAACUUUUAAGGAUAGGAAUUCAGGAUUUAUUUAGAAACUAAAUUUAUUUUGAGAACAGCAGUGUUUGACUAAGCUCUGUUACUUUAAGAGAUAAUGUAUUAUCA